UAGGGAAUCUUCGGCAAUGGACGGAAGUCUGACCGAGCAACGCCGCGUGAGUGAAGAAGGUUUUCGGAUCGUAAAGCUCUGUUGUAAGAGAAGAACGAGUGUGAGAGUGGAAAGUUCACACUGUGACGGUAUCUUACCAGAAAGGGACGGCUAACUACGUGUCAGCAGCCGCGGUAAUACGUAGGUCCCGAGCGUUGUCCGGAUUUAUUGGGCGUAAAGCGAGCGCAGGCGGUUAGAUAAGUCUGAAGUUAAAGGCUGUGGCUUAACCAUAGUACGCUUUGGAAACUGUUUAACUUGAGUGCAAGAGGGGAGAGUGGAAUUCCAUGUGUAGCGGUGAAAUGCGUAGAUAUAUGGAGGAACACCGGUGGCGAAAGCGGCUCUCUGGCUUGUAACUGACGCUGAGGCUCGAAAGCGUGGGGAGCAAACAGGAUUAGAUACCCUGGUAGUCCACGCCGUAAACGAUGAGUGCUAAGUGUUGGUCUCAUAAGAGAUCAGUGCUGCAGCUAACGCAUUAAGCACUCCGCCUGGGGAGUACGACCGCAAGGUUG
Molecule: ribosomal RNA, 548 nt
Filed under: uncultured bacterium
Lineage: Bacteria
Description: bacterial SSU rRNA
Rfam family: Bacterial small subunit ribosomal RNA
Source: RNAcentral